RNAcentral lists this small RNA (370 nucleotides) under Pongo abelii (Sumatran orangutan). Its description in RNAcentral is "processed transcript". The record is from RNAcentral. Lineage: Eukaryota; Metazoa; Chordata; Mammalia; Primates; Hominidae.
CUGGAAUGUUGUGUUUCUGGCUAUCCUCCGCCAAGUUUUACCUGGUUACGAGGCGAGGAAGUCAUCCAACUCAGGUCUAAAAAGUAUUCUUUAUUGGGUGGAAGCAACUUGCUUAUUUCCAAUGUGACAGAUGAUGACAGUGGAAUGUAUACCUGUGUUGUCACAUAUAAAAAUGAGAAUAUUAGUGCCUCUGCAGAGCUCACAGUCUUGGUAAUCAUCGAUAAAGUAUUGGUGGACACCUUUUGGGUACAAGGAUUGCACUAGGUUCUCGGAAGACUACAGAAACAUCUGAAACCUGGCUUCAGUGGGCUUCAUAUAAUUACAAAUUCAUAAAUUCAUAAAAUACUGUCUGAAUAAACUUUUCUUUAAA